UUCACUUUCAGGUGUAUGCUUCUAUGACUCUUUUCAUUCAAGAUGUUAACGAUGAGGUGCCCCAGUUUAGGGGAACCCCUUACAGAGCCAGCAUCAGUGAGGAUGCCCCGAACGGCACUUUGGUCUUUGAUGGGACACAGACUGUGGAUCCAGAUACAGGAAUAGGAGGAAGUGUUUCUUAUUCUCUUGAGUUGACAGAUGAGGCUUACAGGUCGACCUUCAGAACUACA
This is a long non-coding RNA of Liolophura sinensis, 230 nucleotides long. RefSeq lists it as uncharacterized. NCBI's taxonomy places the organism in Eukaryota, Metazoa, Mollusca, Polyplacophora, Chitonida, Chitonidae. The transcript is spliced from 3 exons. The record is from RefSeq and is a predicted model, not a curated record.